This 611-nucleotide long non-coding RNA is filed under the name Linum usitatissimum (flax). RNAcentral's name for it is "long non-coding RNA (LUSI_LNC005833)". Lineage: Eukaryota; Viridiplantae; Streptophyta; Magnoliopsida; Malpighiales; Linaceae. The record is from RNAcentral.
CUGCAAGUAAUCGUUUGCUGUCACGAUCUCUACGUUGUGCUCUCGACAUUUCUCGUUUGGGUUAAUCAAAGCCACAGUCUCUGUUUUAAUUUAUCGUUUAUAGAAUGCUGAUUUCUAACACAUAUAUCAUGAAAUCAUCUUAUUAAUAUGUUCAUAACAUCACAACUCAACAAAAAUCGAUUCUUUUCCCAUGGUGUAGAUAUAUCAUUUGAGAUUUGGCCUGAGUCCAUGGGAAUCUAGCAAUAGUUCAUCUUCGCGGCAAAUACACGCCCCGUCAAUGCAUUGACAAUGCGGUUUGCAUUGGGUCUUGCAUGGAGUUAAGUCCAGCGAGCCUUCAACCCCGACAUUCUUCUCACCUGCAUCCACCAAAAUCCACGGUCGUGAUUUCAAGUUCAAAAGUCAACUGACUGUACAAUAUAGUGAAAAAGAAUGUAAUAAAUUCAAAACGAGAUCAUAAUGUAAAUAAAAACAAGAUCUCACAUGUGCUAGCUGCGAAAAUCAAGAAAAGGAUGAAAAGGACAGAUUUCACUUGAGAUUUCUCCAUGGUUAUGGAAGGUUUCUCUCCCCGAAUGAUCCUCUCAAUUUUGGUGGAUAUAAUUUGUGAAUUGUGG